GAUGAACGCUGGCGGUAUGCUUAACACAUGCAAGUCGAACGGACUCUUCGGGGUUAGUGGCGGACGGGUGAGUAACGCGUGAGAAUCUGGCUUUGGGUUCGGGACAACCACUGGAAACGGUGGCUAAUACCGGAUGUGCCGAGAGGUAAAAGAGAAAUUGCCCGCAGAUGAGCUCGCGUCUGAUUAGCUAGUUGGUGAGGUAAAGGCUCACCAAGGCAGCGAUCAGUAGCUGGUCUGAGGGGAUGACCAGCCAAACUGGGACUGCGACACGGCCCAGACUCAUACGGGAGGAAGCAGUGGGGAAUUAUCGGGAAUGGGCGAAAGCGUGACGGAGCAAUACCGCGUGAGGGAAGAAGGCUCUUGGGUUGUAAACCUCUUUUCUUAGGGAAGAACAAAAUGACGGUACCUAAGGAAUAAGCAACGGCUAACUCCGUG
Molecule: ribosomal RNA, 435 nt
Filed under: uncultured bacterium
Lineage: Bacteria
Description: partial 16S ribosomal RNA
Rfam family: Bacterial small subunit ribosomal RNA
Source: RNAcentral